UAGGGAAUCUUCCACAAUGGGCGGCAAGCCUGAUGGAGCAACACCGCGUGAGUGAAGAAGGGUUCGGCUCGUAAAGCUCUGUUGUUGGAGAAGAACGUGCGUGAGAGUAACUGUUCACGCAGUGACGGUAUCCAACCAGAAAGUCACGGCUAACUACGUGCC
Molecule: ribosomal RNA, 162 nt
Filed under: uncultured bacterium
Lineage: Bacteria
Description: partial 16S ribosomal RNA
Rfam family: Bacterial small subunit ribosomal RNA
Source: RNAcentral